AUUGAACGCUGGCGGCAUGCUUUACACAUGCAAGUCGAACGGUAACAGGCCUUCGGGUGCUGACGAGUGGCGAACGGGUGAGUAAUGCAUCGGAACGUGCCCAGAGGUGGGGGAUAACGCAGCGAAAGCUGUGCUAAUACCGCAUGUGAUCUGAGGAUGAAAGCGGGGGACCAGGCAGCAAUGUUUGGCCUCGCGCCUUUGGAGCGGCCGAUGUCAGAUUAGGUAGUUGGUGGGGUAAAGGCCUACCAAGCCGACGAUCUGUAGCUGGUCUGAGAGGACGACCAGCCACACUGGGACUGAGACACGGCCCAGACUCCUACGGGAGGCAGCAGUGGGGAAUUUUGGACAAUGGGCGCAAGCCUGAUCCAGCAAUGCCGCGUGCGGGAAGAAGGCCUUCGGGUUGUAAACCGCUUUUGUACGGAACGAAAAGGCUCUGGCUAAUACCUGGGGCUGAUGACGGUACCGUAAGAAUAAGCACUGGCUAACUACGUG
RNAcentral lists this ribosomal RNA (492 nucleotides) under uncultured bacterium. RNAcentral's name for it is "partial 16S ribosomal RNA". It matches the Rfam family "Bacterial small subunit ribosomal RNA", at positions 30 to 507 of the family's 1533-position model. The record is from RNAcentral.